Molecule: ribosomal RNA, 439 nt
Filed under: uncultured Gordonia sp.
Lineage: Bacteria; Bacillati; Actinomycetota; Actinomycetes; Mycobacteriales; Gordoniaceae
Description: partial 16S ribosomal RNA
Rfam family: Bacterial small subunit ribosomal RNA
Source: RNAcentral
ACGGGAGGCAGCAGUGGGGAAUAUUGCACAAUGGGCGCAAGCCUGAUGCAGCGACGCCGCGUGAGGGAUGACGGCCUUCGGGUUGUAAACCUCUUUCGCUAGGGACGAAGCGCAAGUGACGGUACCUGGAGAAGAAGCACCGGCCAACUACGUGCCAGCAGCCGCGGUAAUACGUAGGGUGCGAGCGUUGUCCGGAAUUACUGGGCGUAAAGAGCUCGUAGGCGGUUUGUCGCGUCGUCUGUGAAAUUCUGCAGCUUAACUGCAGGCGUGCAGGCGAUACGGGCAGACUUGAGUACUACAGGGGAGACUGGAAUUCCUGGUGUAGCGGUGAAAUGCGCAGAUAUCAGGAGGAACACCGGUGGCGAAGGCGGGUCUCUGGGUAGUAACUGACGCUGAGGAGCGAAAGCGUGGGGAGCGAACAGGAUUAGAUACCCUGGUA